AACGCGAAGAACCUUACCAGCCCUUGACAUGGGGAGUAUGGGCCUGAGAGAUCGGGUCCUUCAGUUCGGCUGGCUCCCGCACAGGUGCUGCAUGGCUGUCGUCAGCUCGUGUCGUGAGAUGUUGGGUUAAGUCCCGCAACGAGCGCAACCCUCGUCUUCAGUUGCCAUCACGUUUGGGUGGGCACUCUGAAGAAACUGCCGGUGACAAGCCGGAGGAAGGUGGGGAUGACGUCAAGUCCUCAUGGCCCUUACGGGCUGGGCUACACACGUGCUACAAUGGCGGUGACAGAGGGGAGCGACGGGGCGACCCUGAGCCAAUCCCGAAAAGCCGUCUCAGUUCGGAUUGCACUCUGCAACUCGAGUGCAUGAAGUCGGAAUCGCUAGUAAUCGCGGAUCAGCACGCCGCGGUGAAUACGUUCCCGGGCCUUGUA
Molecule: ribosomal RNA, 431 nt
Filed under: uncultured Alphaproteobacteria bacterium
Lineage: Bacteria; Pseudomonadati; Pseudomonadota; Alphaproteobacteria
Description: bacterial SSU rRNA
Rfam family: Bacterial small subunit ribosomal RNA
Source: RNAcentral